This is a long non-coding RNA of Manacus vitellinus (golden-collared manakin), 1116 nucleotides long. RefSeq lists it as uncharacterized. Lineage: Eukaryota; Metazoa; Chordata; Aves; Passeriformes; Pipridae. The transcript has 6 exons. The record is from RefSeq and is a predicted model, not a curated record.
GGACACUCCCCUCAGGCGCAGCCCCGCCAAAAUGUGUGGGGCGGGAGGUUCCUGCCGAAUUUUAUCGAAAGCCUGAAUUAAAAUUAACCUGCGAAGGCUGUAAUAAGGAAGGAAAUUAAGGGAUGCGUGUAUCUGUAUAAAUAUACGUGUGCUGCGGUGGCUUGUCGGCGGCGAUUAGGGAAGUCCUGCUGUCUGGAAAUUGGCUUUGCCUCCCAGGAAACCUGAGGGGAGCGCUGCCCUAGUUACUGCUGCGGGAGCCCUCGGGAGAGGCUCGAAAUGAAAUGGAUACAGGGGGUUAUUUUUCGUUCGAAAUAUGCUCUUGAAUAAAUUAGUUUUGCGUCCAGAAAUGGCAUCUGUUUUCCUUGGCUCGGGUGUUUUUCUUAGGAGUGUUUAGGUAUGCAGCUCACACGGGAAGCGGGGCUAAUAUCUGAGCAGCUUUGGAUAUCGGUGCUGUGUCGUGUUAGAGCAGAAAUGCUGCUUUAAUUCAAAAGUUUAAAUACAGAAAUGCUGUGGGGUCAGUAACCCCGGGAGGGAGAAAGGACGGGCACUUAAAACAUAGAACUCACGAGGUGAGAAACUAAGUGUUUUAUAAGAGUUAAGUGGCCUGAUGUUCAGUGACACCAUCUGAAAACGAACCUUCUCUUUUAUUUUCAAGGAAGUAGCUGAAAACACUGGAUGCACCUCUGUUUCUCCUGGAGGCCUUGUAUCCUCUGCGUUCCACUCGGGCUGUGGCUGAUGGGCUGGAAGAAACCUGGGCUGGUUAUUACAGAUACACUUAAUAUUAAACAAACAAUUAAAACAAAUGUGGGCCCCCUGAACUCAGAAGACCUUCUAAUUUGUGUCACUUGCUGAUUUAUCUCCAGUUCACAGCUCAUUAGAAGUGGCGUUGAAGGAUCUGUUAAAUGCAGCGGCUCGAAAAAUAUUCAGCUGUCACAGAAUUUUCGGAGAGGUUUGGGUGUAUUAGAAGUUGGUACAUGACAGUGUGAAGGGGUUGACUUCCAACCUGCUCGAGGCUUUGUCUGCAGGAUCUGGUGGUGUAAUUGUCUCCCCACGUGUUCAUGUGGCUGUUCACAGGUGCAUUAACUCCUGUCUGUCACCCAAAUUGCUGUUUAUUGC